AUCCUCUUGAUCCCCAAAGCAUAAACGCAUGUACCGAGAGGCAAAGCUCACAACGUAAUUUUUUCAGUCUUAUCCUGACUAAUUGACAGCCAACUGUAUGCCUCUUUCCUGAAGGUGACUUGCCAAUCUCCAGACACAGACAUUUCUCCCAGAGGCAGAGUGAAGGAGGGGGAACCACAAGCUAAAGUGUGUUUCACUGGGUGCACUAUUUUGGGGGGAAGAUAAGAAUGGGGAAAUAAGGGAACGGAGGAGUGUGCACAAAGAUUAAGGGUGCCUGUUUGGGGCUUGGGAAUAGGAGCUGUGAAUGAAGGAAGCGAAUCUCUGGAGGGAAAGAGCCUUCUUUGUAAAAGAAAAUGAAAUGAGCAUUCACUCUGAAAUGGCUGGGAAUGUGACUUUCUAAUUUUAAAUUAUCUUUAACAAGGGCAAUGAAAAGAGGAAAAGUUGACACUUUGAGAAGUUAUGACGAACUUGUCGAGAAUGCCAAUUGACGAAGGCAGGUUCUUCCACAGCAGAAAGAUAGACACGUACUUUUAUGCCUGAUGCCAGAAGCUGACCCCUAGAGCAGCAGCAGGAUCUGAGAAGGCGGCACCGAAUGUGGCUGCGCCCGGUGGGACAUGAUGGCAUCUCCAGGGUGGUCUUGAAGACUUAGCUGGAUCAUCUCCAGUUCGGAUUGCUGCCUCUGAGACCCCCUCUCCAUGUUCCCCUGCAGUGGUCAUCUGGAAGGGAUUUUACUGGUGGUCUCCAUCUCUCGCCUGCCCUUACUCCAGGAUUUUGCUUCUGUGGUAUUGUCAAUACCACCACCUGGUAAUGUGGAACCUCUGGAAGACCUUGUCCAAAGAGUUGAGCUUUUAUGUAGUUCAAAAUGUGUUUACCUUUCACAUCUAUGUAUGUAUCAGCUCUGAUGCUAGCACUGAUGGCCAGAAAAUUUAAAGAAAAUUUGUUUCACAAACAAUUGUGUGCCCCCUGCAUCUCAGAUCCACAAUGUGGAUUUUAAACUCUAUGAGCAUUUGAGAGAGUGCAGAGCAUCACACUGCCUGGCAUCUGGAUUAAGAAUAUGUUUAGUGGGGAAAUUUUAUUGCAAACCUCAGUAAGAAACUAUCGAUAUCAUAUUGUGCCUAAUAAAAUG
Molecule: non-coding RNA, 1126 nt
Organism: Manis javanica (Malayan pangolin)
Lineage: Eukaryota; Metazoa; Chordata; Mammalia; Pholidota; Manidae
Source: RefSeq, a predicted model, not a curated record